UGGGGCCGGGCUGCUGCAGUGCCCGCUGGGGCCUGGAGGGGGCGGCCGCGGCCGCUGAUUCCGGAUCCCGCCGCUGAUCCCCAGCCGGGCCUGGCUCCGCCACCUCGGCACCAUGAAGGCGAUAAUCCAGCGGGUCACCCAGGCCAGCGUGACAGUGGGUGGGGAACAAAUAAGUUCCAUUGGAAGAGGCAUCUGUGUGUUGCUGGGUAUUUCUUUGGAAGAUACUCACAAAGAGCUAGAACACAUGGUUCGCAAGAUUUUAAACUUGCGUGUGUUCGAAGACGAAAGCGGGAAACACUGGUCUAAAAGCGUGAUGGAUAAACAGUAUGAGGUGCUUUGUGUCAGCCAGUUUACUCUGCAGUGCAUCCUGAAAGGAAACAAACCAGACUAUCACAUGGCUAUGCCAGCAGAGCAAGCAGAGUCUUUCUACAACAACUUCCUAGAACAACUUAAAAAAGCCUACAAACCAGAGCUUAUUAAAGAUGGCAAGUUUGGAGCCUACAUGCAGGUAAACAUCCAGAAUGAUGGUCCUGUGACUAUAGAACUGGAAUCCCCUGCUGCCACCAUGGACCCGAAGCAGCUGACAAAGCUCGAAAAACAGCAGCAAAGGAAAGAGAAGACCAGAACCAAGGUACCCUCUGAAUCAAGUAGAGAAAGAAAUGCCCCUCGUAAUAAGGAUGACCCCAGUGCAAGCAGUGGAGCAGAGGGAGACGUGUCUUCUGAAAGGGAACCUUGAUCCUCAAAAGCAGGCCUCAGAUGGACUUUCUUCCGUUCAUGAUAAUUAUCAGCUGCAGACUUUUGCUUAUACAAUGUCACCAGAGACCCGUCUGCAAUUCUCAGUGACCAGUUGCAGUAGUUCAUCAUCAUCAUUGGAUAGCUCCGUACUUUUGCCUUUCAGACUGUCAUGGCACAUGAGCCAGAAGGUUUUAUAGGACUUUUCCAUUAGCAGCAAUAAUCAGACCAUCCCCAGCCUUGUUCCAGCUAGCGAAGACUGGUUUGUGGUGUCUCCUUUAAAGAUUCUGACAAAGUCAACUCUAUCUUUAAAAAAAAAAAAUCACAUAUGUGGAAGAAAUUGGACAUGUGCUUGGAAGGAGGAGCAUGGUGGAAGGAAGGGCACAAGGAUAGGGGAGGUGUUGAAAGAUUGAUGGUUGGGGGGGAAGAAUGUAAUUAAUGGAUUGUGGGGAAAUAUGAGUAUGGAAUUGAUGGUUAAAAACAUAAGAACGGCCAUACUGGGUCAGACCAAAGGUCCAUCUAGCUCAGUAUCCUGUCUUCCCACAGUGGCCAAUGCCAGGUGCCCCAGAAGGAAUGAACAGAACAGGCAGUCACCCAAGUGAUCCAUGCCCUGCGGCCCACUCCCAGCCUCUGGUUUGUUAAGGGGUGAAGUAAGACCAGGGUAUAAAUAGGUGGAUUUGGGUCGGUGGGCAGACUGUUGCUUAGGGGGUGUGGUUUUUGCUUAGGAGGCAUUACAUGAACCUCUGAGGCCAACAUUUUUAGGGAAGCGCCCUGUUAACAUUUUGGCGGCAGCACAUCUCUGGUCAGGCAGACCUUUAGUCUAAAAUGGGGUUUUGGAAAAUAGUUUCCUGACAGUGUGGUGUGUUACACAAGCGUUAUAAAGUAGUGGCAAAAACCCCUGUGAGUGACUGACUCAAAACUCAGUUGGACAAAGCAUUUAAGGUUAUACUGUAGGGGAUGGUCCUAAACUGAGGAGUGAACUAUGUUACCUUAAAUGUGUUUUUCAUUUUUAAUUUCUCUUAUUUUUAUGAGAACUGCUGCAGGUUAAAUGAUGGUACUUUUAAAAAAAAUUGCUCAGUAUUUCAGAUGAAGAAUCAGAUCCCUGUGUACCUGAAUCCGUGGUUUGCAGCUUGUUCUUCAUUUCUUUUUGUGGCGUUUGAUGACUUGCCAGCCUGCCGUGCAUUAGUCCAGCUGCACUGAAAUGGCUAAAUCCGGUGGCGGUUUGUCAUACAAAGGCUAUGUUGGAGCCUUAAGAAUUCACAGUUUACAUUAUCCUCAGAGUUGAUCUUAAAAGACUUUGGAAAAGAAAGAAAAGCAGGAAAAUAGAACUAAGAAAUUAUGACUCUACAUCAUUCUGUACUAAAAACAACCAAAGGAAAGUUACCAGUUUCAGUUAAAAUGUAUUCGUAGUAGUGAAAAUGAUUCACAGCAUUUUUCUGUGCAUCUGUGUUUGUUUUCACAUGGUUUACUGAAUGAAGGGUGAUUUUUUUAAUGCAGAUUGUAACAGAACAUAUGACAACAGAGCACAUGAUCAAUUUCCAAAAAUAAAUCAGUUUUUCCUCAAAUUCUGACUUUAAUUCUGAAGAUAUCUCAAAGCAAGCUUGUAUUUUCAUUUGCAUUGUGUAGUGCCAUGUGCUGCCUGUUUCCAUAGCAAUGUAUAAAUCUGUGUACAUUACCAUAUGUUGUACAAUCUCUGUCUAACACCAGGUUUGGGAGUACAGUCUUUUUUCAUGUGUUAAAAAAAACUGUCAUUGAUAAUUUAUCUUGUGAAAUACGUGUGUCUUAUAAAACUUUAAAAAAAAAAAACACUUUAUUAAACAAAUUACACUACCUUAUCACCUGUUGGUGUUUGAUAUGGAUUGCUGUGAUCUUGGGAACAUAAUGAACUUUAACAAUGCAACUAAUGCAGAGCACAAGUAUCUGUCCGAAAAAUUUUUAAUAGAAGAGUAUCAUAUUCCUCUCGCCCUUAAAAAAAUUCUAUUGACAAAAGUUUCUUCCUUGGUACAUUUAACUUUUUAGGCAUAGUCAAUCUAGAUCUUCUAGACACUUUCCUUUGGCCACCAAAAUUUUAGAGGCAGCUGCUCCAUCUACAGUAUCUUGCAUCUGGUGACAUUUCUAUCCGCUUGAGAGGCAGAAUAGCCUUUGAAAACUGGCAGAGUGCAGUGAGAGCAGAGAACUAGCAGACUACAAAAACUGUGGUUGCGUGAAAGCCCAGGAAAUUUUAGUCCUGUCCCUUUAACUCUUCUGAGAGGGGAAAUUAAAGGCUAUGGUGUCUGCCUCUUUGUUAGAUGUAGUAGGACAUUUAUAAAAUGUAUUUGUCAAGGAAGGAGUCAUUGUUACCAGGGUAACCCCAGGCAAGAACAUAAUUCCUGCUGAAUAGCAGUGAUUCAUUAAAAAAAACAUUAAAAAAAAAUGUUUGUCAUACAUUGGUUUGAGUGUUCUGUGAACAGAAGCAUUUAUUUUUAAAAUUUCCUUGUAUGCCUGGAUGGAAUCUAAAUUACUUGUGUCACUAAAUUAUUCCUUUGCAAGAUGAAGCAUUUACUUUCUGCAGCGUUAGAUUUCCUCUGAACUCUGUCUCUGUACUUUAUGAUGUGAAAACUGUUCUAUCCAGUAUUGUAGCACUACCUGACUGACGAACUGUCGUUCUGAAUCCAAUUGUUACUGUAUUGACAUAAUUGCAGACUAUAAAACCGUCCAUGCUCGCUUGCCCAUGUCGCGUUUCCAAAUGCUGCUCUCUGCUUGUGUUUAUAAUUCACAGUUUAUUGUCUAAUAAAACAUUUGACUGAGGA
This is an RNA transcript of Mauremys reevesii (Reeves's turtle), 3521 nucleotides long. It is a transcript of the gene named D-aminoacyl-tRNA deacylase 1, with no coding region annotated. NCBI's taxonomy places the organism in Eukaryota, Metazoa, Chordata, Testudines, Geoemydidae. The transcript has 8 exons. The record is from RefSeq and is a predicted model, not a curated record.